GGGCAGUUACCUCGGUUGGCUAUAGGGUGGUGCUUAUAAUGCCAAGGUCACAGGUUCGAUCCCCAUAUGGGUCA
Molecule: non-coding RNA, 74 nt
Organism: Podarcis lilfordi (Lilford's wall lizard)
Lineage: Eukaryota; Metazoa; Chordata; Lepidosauria; Squamata; Lacertidae
Source: the annotation of a GenBank genome assembly